Equus caballus (horse) is the source of this 4376-nucleotide long non-coding RNA. Lineage: Eukaryota; Metazoa; Chordata; Mammalia; Perissodactyla; Equidae. The record is from Ensembl.
UUUAUUUGUAAUUGCCAAAACUUGGAAACAACCCCAAUGUCCUUCAGCUGGUGAAUGAAGGAACAAUGGUACAUCUGUACAAUGGAAUACUACUCAGCAACGAAAAGGAAUAAACUGUUGAUUCACACCACAUCAUGAUUUUUUUUUUUUUUUUGGUGAGGAAGAUUGGCCCUUAGCUAACAUCUGUUGCCAAUCUUCCUUUUUUUUUUUUCCUCCCCAAAGCCCAGUAGAUAGUUGUAUAUCCUAGUUGUAAGUCAUUCUAGUUCUUCUAUGUGGGAUGCCGCCACAGCAUGGUUUGAUGAGCAGUGUGUAGGUCUGCACCCAGGAUCUGAACUGGUGAACCCCAGGCCACCAAAGCAGAGUGUGCAAACUUAACCACUCGGCCACAGGCCAGCCCCCGUGGAUGAAUCUUAAAUGCACUUUGCUAAAUGAAAAAAACCAGACCUAAGACUACAUAUUGUAUGUAUAACACUCCUGAGAAGAUAAAACCAUACAGACAGAAAACAUGUCAGUAGUGGCCAUGGGCUGGAGGAAUGGAGGGGUUGACUAUAAAGGGGCAGCAUGAGCAGAACCGGGGGUGUGGAACUGUUCUGUGUCACACCGUGGUAGUGGAUACUGCCUCUACACAUGUCAAGAUCCACAGAACUGCGGGCCACGAAGAGUGACUUUUACUGAAUGUACGUAGUUAUCAGUCAACCAGGAUGUGGAGAGAAAGACGGAGUGCACCCUGCAGCAAGCGCAUCACGUGACCGCACUGAAGCAGGUGGGGAAGAAAGGAGGGACCCAAACAGCUGGGGGAAGUGUUCUGAGUAGAUAAGGAAAAACUAAAAAGAAUUGUGUACAAAUGCUACUCUGGUUGGCAAAUUUGUUUCUCACAGAGCUACUGUUUAGCAAUUCUCAAGUUACCUUAAACGUAGGAUUGAACAAAUCAGUAAAUUAUUGUAGGUAAUGAGGAUCAGGUGUCCUGCCGUUACAAACAAGGAAGGAGAGAUGGCUGGAAGGCCUCCUGGGGUACUGGCCUGGAGCUGGAGGGACUCGCGGAUUCUGUUUUGGAUACAUAUGGACAGAUACACGAAUACCGAAGUGUAGGCACAUGGCUUAGCACAUUCCAUACACUUCCCAGUUUGACCCACUGCACCGAGGGACUGGCCGCAGCGACACCCAGUAGCAACGAGCAUACCUCACAGCCAGCUUUUGGUUUCUAACACCCUCCUCCAAUAGAAGGAGCAAGCGCUCCUUGGAGAAGAGGCGGAUUUCAGGGCUUGAACAGGAAGAGCAGGUGAGCCUGGACAUUGUGGUGCCAGGAAGUCAUGAAGCGCUAAAAAACCAAAAGCAGAAACAAACAGCAACGUUGAAAGGGCACAGAUCCAACCUGAAAGAGUCCAAUGGCCGAAGUUAGAACAGCUCGAGCAAAUAAAGAACACAGUGUUGGAUCACACCCCAAACAACAUAAACACCCAGGAGUCCAUGCCAAUACAAACGAGUAACUGAAUAAAGAGGCAAAUAAAUGAGAAGUGACAACUCUUCCUUACAGCGGAAUUCCAAUUAUAUUACGUGGAAGGAUGAGAAAAACAGAAGAUGACCAUUGGAACACCAGGCAGUGGGCAAAGCGUAAGCAAAAACAUGCCAUCUGCACAGUUUCGGUCUUUCCUCCCAGGCAGCUCUAAGUUACAAACGGAACAGCAGGCAUUUCACAGUGGGGAGAGCAGGAGACCCCGCCGUAGUCGAGUGACCAGGGUUGAUGCCAGCAGUCACACAGACGCCGUCCACCCCAAUGUGACGUACUGAGGGUGCCUCUCUGCGUCGUCCUUCCCAACAACGAACGACUGUAUGAGAAAACAUCAAACCCAAACUGAGGGCUUCUUCAAAACCCUUCAAAAGCAGCAAAGCGACAGGGGAGGACUGAGAAACCGUCACAGGCUGAAGGGGACUCACGAGACAUGACAACUAACGCAACUUGGGAUCGUGUACUAGGUCCUGAAACAGGAAAAGGACAUUAUGCAUGGGAAAAACUCGUGAGAGCCAAAUAGCCUGUAGUUUGGUUGAUGUGAGCCAUGUGAAUGUCUUAGUUUUGAUAACUGUUUUCUGGUCAUGGAAGACGUCAACAUAAGGGGGAGCCAGGUGAAAGCUAUGAUGGAACUCCCUAUUUUUGCAAUUUUCCUUUAGAGCUAAAAUUAUCUCCAGCUAAAACGAUGAAUUACAAAUACAAAGAAAUACACUGGAAGGGUAAGCACCAGAUUCAGGCUAACAGUUAAUUCUCGUGGGGAGGCAGCUGAUGAAAUCAGGGAGCGGUAUCACCAGCGGCUUCAAGCAUGAGCCAUGUUUAUUUCUUGUGCUCUGGGGAUGGUAUGUGGACAUUUAUUUUGUAAAUCACAUUUAUAUGCAUGAAAUAUCUCAUAACACCUUUCUGUGAAAAGCUUCAGACUUUAUAGAGAUGUCUGCCUGUAACUUAUUCAUUCACUCAAUAUUAUUGAGCACCUCUUAGAAAAUGUGGCUCCUGUGCUAACUCAAUUUCAGCAUCUAGUGGGAUUCAGUCCCGCUCCUGUGUCGGUUGUAGGCCAUAGUCUUUGUCACAAUUACUCAAUUCUGCCAUCGUAGCAAGAAAGCAGCCACAGACGAUACAUAGAUCAAUGGGUGUGGCUGUUCCAAUAAGUUACAUACAAAAACAGCCUUCGGGUAGCUUGCUGACCCACGAUGCAGCCGACUGAACAGAAUUUAGCCUGAGUUUUAAUUAAAACACACCACAGGGUGGAGCUCUGACCACGUUUUUACACCCGCAGACAUUUCACACAUGAAACAGAUGUACUUCCAGUAGCAGAUGCAGCUGUCCCCACGUCUUCCAAACCCUGACACAGAAAUUCACCAUCACAUGCCAGUUUCACACACAAUGUCAGCUACUGAGGAGCACAGCAGAUGCGAUCUUUCCCGUGGGCAUUACAGCCUUCAAACCGAGGAACUGACUCCACUGUUCCAGGGGAGGCCUGGGAACAUGUUCCUCUCUGCUUCUUGCUCCUUUCAUUUAUUUUGAUUAUUUUACCUUUUAUUCUGGGCUCUACUGUAGUAGACCAAAAUUAGUUUUAGAAUAUUUAUUAAACAUUUCAAAUCAGUACUUUAAGAAGAUACUUAUUAGAAUCUAAAACCACUUGAUUGUCUACAAUUUGCUAAACUUUAAAAAAGUUAAUACCUGUAUUAGAAUCCAGGUGGCGUUCACCACUGGGGAAAAAGGGAAGAAGGGACAAAAAAACAAAACCAACCUCACAAGCUCUUCCUCCUAUGCGGGUAAGACAGCAGGCAAAGGGAUUGGCCCCCUAAGCACCCAGAGAAGGCCGCUGAGGCGAUCCUCGAAGACUGUGACCGAGCCAGCAAAACCAAGGGGAGCAGGCAGAGGAAAGGGCACCGCAAAGGCUCUUGGGGUCACAGAACACCUGUGCCAGGGACACAGAUGGGACUCCGGGUUUCAAGGAGCAACUUAAAGAUAAGGUUUCUCCCUCCCCGCACCUUCCCUCUCUUCCUCUGGCUCCCGUCUCCAGACUGGACCCAUCGGGUAAAGUCUGAACCAGGCCUUCAUGCCAAGCUCUAGCACUAAGGGGAAAGCCUCUCCUAAGGGGAGAGAGCCCCCCCCAACUGCAGGAUAAAGAGCCAGGAGGUAUCAACUGAGGAGGCAGAAGCCUGGGAACACACUGGAAAGCCUUUUAUCUCAUCUAGCGUCCCGCACAUGGAGGAAUAAAACUUAAAAGUUCUCCAAAAAGAACAGGUUUUCCAUCUUUUUCAAGCUUCCUCUUUUCCACCCCAUCCCUAAUUCCAGAAAAUUCAUCUGUAUCCCAAGGACUGCUUCGGAUAUGCUGAGCUGAAGACACCAGAGUUAAUGAAUAAAAUGGCAAAAACACACCAGCAUCACGCAUACACAACCAUCAAAGAAUCAGAAUUUGGAAAAGGAACUUACUUCCCAAACCGAGAGACCACUUGAGAGAAGGAAUCGAGGAGACCUUAAGAAAUGGAAGGCAUUUUCUCUGCAGUUCAACACGUUCUCAGCUUCCAAAUGCUCUUCUGACAGACAGCUCCUUACUUAAAAACAGAUCUCCAAAGACACACAAACGGCCAACAAGCAGUGUCAUCAGUCACCAGAAUGUACAUCAAAACCACAAUAGAUACCACUCCACUCAUACUAGGAUGGCUAUAAUUUUUUAAAAAAGAAAAAUUAGUGUUGGCAAGGAUGUGGAAAAAUUGGAACCCUGGUGCAUUGCUGGUGGCAAUAUAAAAUGGAGCAGCCGAUGUGGAGAGUCUGGUGGUUCCUCGAAAAGUGAAACACAGCAUUACCGUACGCCCCGGGAAACCCACUCCUAGCUACAGAUCCAGGAGAACUGAAAGCUGGGGGC